GGAUGGGUAGGGGAGCGUCGUGUGCCGGGUGAAGCUGCAGCGGAAGCUAGUGGUGGACGGUUCACGAGUGAGAAUGCAGGCAUGAGUAGCGAUACACACGUGAGAAACGUGUGCGCCGAUUGACUAAGGGUUCCUGGGUCAAGCUGAUCUGCCCAGGGUAAGUCGGGACCUAAGGCGAGGCCGACAGGCGUAGUCGAUGGACAACCGGUUGAUAUUCCGGUACCCGCUUUGAAACGCCCAAUAUCGAGCCCAUUAAUGCUAAGGCCGUGAAGCCGCCCUGAUCUCUUCGGAGUUGAGGGGAGUGGUGGAGCCGCUGACCCAAGGUGGUAGUAGGUAAGCGAUGGGGUGACGCAGGAAGGUAGUCCAGCCCGGGCGGUGGUU
Molecule: ribosomal RNA, 381 nt
Filed under: Streptomyces sp. SID1034
Lineage: Bacteria; Bacillati; Actinomycetota; Actinomycetes; Kitasatosporales; Streptomycetaceae
Description: partial 23S ribosomal RNA
Rfam family: Bacterial large subunit ribosomal RNA
Source: RNAcentral